AAUAAAUAACAAUAUAGGGCUCUUAUGGGUCUUAUAAUUGGAAUGAGUACAAUUUAAAUCCCUUAACGAGGAUCAAUUGGAGGGCAAGUCUGGUGAACUUCAGUUCCGCCGUAUCAAUUACCGGCUUCUGACGCCAGAMAUAGUAGGAGUUGUGGCACAAUGCACAUCUUAUGCCUGCUAGUCGAGUCUACAAAGUAGUUUUGGGUGUAGUCCGGCAAGGUAACCUGGUACGGGGAAACCUAAGGCUAAUGCAAAUUAGCUAUGGYAAUCCCGUGKCGAGCCGAUGUUCAGUAAUGUUCAUCAAUGGCCGUUGUAACGCGCGCAAAGGUACCGGUUAGGUGUAAAUACUUGACUCAAGGGACGUGCUAUUCCCACCGGAAACGGUGCUUACAACUGGAGCUCCCAAAGAGUAAAGGUCGUAAGGAACAAUGACUCAGGAAGAAAUAGCUGAGUAUGUCAAGUUCGGWAUUCAAUAUUGUAAAGGCCAGCAGCCGCGGUAAUUCCAGCUCCAAUAGCGUAUAUUAAAGUUGUUGCCGUUAAAAAGCUCGUAGUCGAACUUCGGCCUUUGCCGCCCGGUCCGCCUAUUUGGGUGUGUACUGGAGCGGUGGAGGCUUACCUCGUGGUGAGCAAUCAUCCCCUUUACUGGGAGUGGYUGGGAACCAUGAUUUWUACUUUGAAAAAAUUAGAGUGUUCAAAGCAGGCUUAUGCCCGAAUACAUUAGCAUGGAAUAAUAAAAUAGGACGUGCGRYUCUAUUUUGUUGGUUUCUAGGAUCGCCGUAAUGAUUAAUAGGGAUAGUUGGGGGCAUUCGUAUUCAAUUGCUAGAGGUGAAAUUCUUGGAUUUAUUGAAGACGAACUACUGCGAAAGCAUUUGCCAAGGAUGWUUUCAUUGAUCAAGAACGAAGGUUAGGGGAUCGAAAACGAUCAGAUACCGUUGUAGUCUUAACAGUAAACGAUGCCGACUAGSGAUCGGACGAGGAUUUUUAAUGACUC
Molecule: ribosomal RNA, 991 nt
Filed under: uncultured Cyphobasidiales
Lineage: Eukaryota; Fungi; Basidiomycota; Cystobasidiomycetes; Cyphobasidiales
Description: bacterial SSU rRNA
Rfam family: Eukaryotic small subunit ribosomal RNA
Source: RNAcentral